Molecule: ribosomal RNA, 430 nt
Filed under: uncultured metazoan
Lineage: Eukaryota; Metazoa
Description: SSU rRNA
Rfam family: Eukaryotic small subunit ribosomal RNA
Source: RNAcentral
UUACCUGGUCCGGACAUCAAAAGGAUAGACAGACUGCCAGAUCUUUCUUGAUAUGGUGAUUGGUGGUGCAUGGCCGUUCUUAGUUCGUGGAGUGAUCUGUCAGGCCAAUUCCGGUAACGAACGAGACCACUUUCUCCAUUUGACGAGCCGGAGAAGGCGUUGGUAUUGGGAAUUUUUGCUUGCAAGGGUUCCUGGUAUCAGUUCUGUAGGCAUCGUGAAGAAGCUCCGAGGGUAUUGGUUGAGAUGGCAACAUCGAGGCUGGUGCACUUUGAGUUACCUUUGCGCUCCCUCCGGCUUAACAGUGCGUGCUCGCAAGAGUGGGUAUUGUAUCAUGGAGAGACAACGGAAUAUACUAAAAAAAUCCGAGGAAGUGUGGCUAUAACAGGUCUGUGAUGCCCUUAGAUGUUCAGGGCUGCACGCGCGCUACAAU